RNAcentral lists this ribosomal RNA (1416 nucleotides) under uncultured Bordetella sp. RNAcentral describes it as "partial 16S-23S ribosomal RNA intergenic spacer". It matches the Rfam family "Bacterial small subunit ribosomal RNA". Lineage: Bacteria; Pseudomonadati; Pseudomonadota; Betaproteobacteria; Burkholderiales; Alcaligenaceae. The record is from RNAcentral.
AGUUCGAUCAUGGCUCAGAUUGAACGUUGGUGGGAUGCUUUACACAUGCAAGUCGAACGGCAGCACGGACUUCUUCGGUCUGGUGGCGAGUGGCGAACGCAGCAAUGAUCGGAACGUCAUAGCGGGGAUAUCCAUGAAAGCGGCUAUCACCGCAUACGCCCUUCGGGGGAAAGCGGGGACCUCGGGCUUGCACCUAUUAGAGCGGGCUGAUAUCGGAUUAUUAAAGUUGUGGGGUAACGGUCACCAAGGCGAUUGAUCCGUUGGUUUGAGAGGACGAACAUUGCCACUGGGACUGAGACACGGCCGGCUCCAUGGGAGGCAGCAGGGGGAAUUUUGGACAAUGGGGGAAACCCUGAUCCAGCCAUCCUGCAAGUAGCGAAGGCCUUCGGGCUAAAGCACUUUGGCAGGGAUAAACGGGCGCACGGGAGCGGUAUCCGCACUGACGGUACCGAAUAGCGCACCGGGCUAACCAUGCCAGCAGCCGCGGUAAUACUUAGGGGCAGGCAAGCGUUAAUCGGAAUUACUGGGCGUAAAGCGUGCGCAGGCGGUUCGGCAAGAAAGAUGUGAAAUCCCAGAGCUGAAUCUUUGGAACUGCAUUUUUAACUACCGAGCUAGAGUGUGUCAGAGGGAGGUGGAAUCUGAAGGUGGCGGUGAAAUGCGUAGAUAUGCGGAGGAACACCGAGCAAGUAGCAGCCUCCUGACAACACUGACGCUCAGCGGGACGAGCGUAGAGCAAAUGAGACGAUACACCGCACCAAUGCCUGAACGACAGGCCAACGCAUAUUGGGGCCUUCGGGCCUCGGUAGCGCAGCUAACGCGUGGUUGACAAGCCUGGGGAGUACGGUCGCAAGAUUAAAACUCAAAGAAUUGAUGUCGGGACCCGCACAAGUUGGGGAUAUGAUUAAUUCGAUGCAACGCGAAAAACCUUACCUACCCUUGACAUGUCUGAAUCCCGAAGAGAUUUGGGAGUGUCAGCAAGAGAACCGGAACACAGGUGCUGCAUGGCUGUCGUCAGCCUAGCCGUGGAGAUGUUGUUAAGUCCUGGCAAUCAGAGCGCAACUCCUUGUCAUUAGUUACAUGAAAGGGCACUCUAAUGACUGCCGCGACAAACCGAGGAAGGUGGAUGACGUUAUCCUCGGUGGCCUUGCGUGGUAGGGGCUUCACACGUCAUACAAUGGUCGGGAUGAGGGUCGCCAACCCGCGAGGGGGAGCCAAUCCCAGAACCCGAUCGUCCGGAUCAGGGUCUGCAACUCGACUCAGCAAGUCGAACUAGUAAUCGCGGAUCAGCAUGUCGCGUGAAUAUUGUCUCCGGUCUUGUACACCGCCCGCUUCAUCGCGAGUGGUUUUACCAGAAGUGUUAGUCAAUCCGGCAGGCGAUUAGCGGGAUUCAUGGGAUCAGUGAAGUCAACAAGGUAG